GCGGGAGUGGCGGAAUUAGUAGACGCUCUGGAUUUAGGUUCAAGUAUCUUAGGAUGUUAGAGUUCAAUUCUCUCCUUCCGCACCA
This 85-nucleotide transfer RNA is filed under the name Pseudoalteromonas sp. S1608. RNAcentral describes it as "tRNA-Leu". It matches the Rfam family "tRNA". Rfam says of the family: Transfer RNA (tRNA) molecules are approximately 80 nucleotides in length. Their secondary structure includes four short double-helical elements and three loops (D, anti-codon, and T loops). Lineage: Bacteria; Pseudomonadati; Pseudomonadota; Gammaproteobacteria; Alteromonadales; Pseudoalteromonadaceae. The record is from RNAcentral.